Molecule: ribosomal RNA, 253 nt
Filed under: uncultured bacterium
Lineage: Bacteria
Description: partial 16S ribosomal RNA
Rfam family: Bacterial small subunit ribosomal RNA
Source: RNAcentral
UACGUAGGGUGCGAGCGUUAAUCGGAAUUACUGGGCGUAAAGCGUGCGCAGGCGGUUUUGUAAGCCAGAUGUGAAAUCCCCGGGCUUAACCUGGGAAUGGCAUUUGGGACUGCAAGGCUGGAGUUUGGCAGAGGAGACUGGAAUUCCUGGUGUAGCAGUGAAAUGCGUAGAUAUCAGGAGGAACACCAAUGGCGAAGGCAGCACUCUGGGACGUGACUGACGCUGAGACGUGAAAGCGUGGGGAGCAAACAGG